AACGAACGCUGGCGGCAGGCUUAACACAUGCAAGUCGAACGCUCGACCUUCGGGUCGGGAGUGGCAGACGGGUGAGUAACGCGUGGGAACGUACCCUUCGGUUCGGAGUAACCCAGGGAAACUUGGGCUAAUACCGGAUACGUCCUGGCCUGGAGACAGGGUGGGAGAAAGGUUUACUGCCGAAGGAUCGGCCCGCGUCGGAUUAGCUAGUUGGUGGGGUAACGGCCCACCAAGGCGACGAUCCGUAGCUGGUCUGAGAGGAUGAUCAGCCACACUGGGACUGAGACACGGCCCAGACUCCUACGGGAGGCAGCAGUGGGGAAUAUUGGACAAUGGGCGAAAGCCUGAUCCAGCCAUGCCGCGUGAGUGAAGAAGGCCUUAGGGUUGUAAAGCUCUUUCAGC
Molecule: ribosomal RNA, 402 nt
Filed under: uncultured bacterium
Lineage: Bacteria
Description: bacterial SSU rRNA
Rfam family: Bacterial small subunit ribosomal RNA
Source: RNAcentral